UCUUUUCCAAUUGGGCUGUCAUUGGAGUUCUGCAAUUGCUCUUUGUUGCCGAGAUAAUCAACUGAGGUAAGCUAUGCCUAUAGUACCAACUAGUACUUCGCACGGGAGAAGCCUCCACCCAGCAACAGACGUCUUUUCCAUUCGUUAGUUAAGUACUGAAGAAGGUGAAAAACAUUGGAAGGCUUUCGAAACACGUGUUAUUGAGCAUAAUGUCCUCAUCGUGGCCAAACACUACACGCGUGUGGCAAUGCAAAGGAUGAUUUCAUCCGUGAUUUUUCUAUUGAGGAACACAGAAGAAUAUCUAAUGUGGUGUACAGUUAAACUGUAACAUCGUGCGUCGGCAUUGACCCGAUUUUUAAAACCUUUUUAAGGAGAUUAGGUCCUCGAUUACUGCUGAUGUACAGGUCAAAGAUGAAAUAGCGUUAUUUAUAGAUAUUCUUUCGGGUAAUAUAAGUUUUUCGCAUUUCAGCCAACAGAUGUCGACCCUACCGCUUUUGUGUCGGUGACUCGAGAGGACGUUCUGCUCUUGGAUCUGACGAAUUGUGGAUAUGAAUGUACAAAAUCUUUGAUGACUGGAUUUGACACUCAGAACUGUUCCUGUUAGAAAGGUAAACAUGAACAUGGUCUUUAGUUUCUGUUAUUCUUUUUUACAUAAAGUAUUUUAUUUGCGAUCUAUGUUGGAGUGGAUCGAGGCUGAUGCAUACUUUCUUGUCAUAAUGCAAGAGAAAUAGGGUAAAGUUGCUGAAGCUGCAGACAUUCUCCAAGAACGUCUGUUCAAGACCGAUGAUUCUAUGGAAAAGCUAGAAAAUUGAACAGGUUGAGCUUAUCCUGAAAUGAAUGAGAUUGUUUUUUCUUCAUCUGCACUCAGAUCAUUUUGAAGAAGAUAAGUGUCAGAUUUGUUUUUAGAGAAACAUGUGCUCAGUCUUAAAGUGAAAUUUUUUCAUGUAGGAAUACUUUAACGUUGUUCCAUUUGUCUUAUUAAGCGUGGGAAGGUGGAGAGGAAAUGUUGGUAAAUUAUUCAUCAUUGUGUAGAUCCCUGAUAGAUGUUGACAAGAACAGGUAUUACAUCUCUACAUUUGUUAACAUAAUCAAGCCAUGUACAACAUAACAGUGAUCCAAGAGAAAGAGCUUCUGCAAUUGUUGGUGGUUGUCGAGCUGAUGUUUCGCUGACACGCUGUGUCAAUAGUACAAACUAGUAUGGCGAAGGGAGAGACCUUCCUCCCGACAAUGAUAUCAUUA
Long non-coding RNA from Daphnia carinata, 1239 nucleotides. RefSeq lists it as uncharacterized. Lineage: Eukaryota; Metazoa; Arthropoda; Branchiopoda; Diplostraca; Daphniidae. The transcript is spliced from 3 exons. The record is from RefSeq and is a predicted model, not a curated record.